GACGAACGCUGGCGGCGUGCUUAACACAUGCAAGUCGAACGGACGAGUGAGAUAAGUUUACUUAACUCACAAGUUAGUGGCGGACGGGUGAGUAACACGUGGAUAAUCUACCUGCAACACCGGGAUAACGCUGUGAAAACGGUGCUAAUACCGGAUACGUUCCCUUGUGCGCAUGUAUGAGGGAAGAAAGCUCAGGCGGUUGCAGAUGAGUCCGCGGCUGAUUAGCUAGUUGGUGAGGUAAAGGCUCACCAAGGCGAUGAUCAGUAGCCGGCCUGAGAGGGUGAACGGCCACACUGGGACUGAGACACGGCCCAGACUCCUACGGGAGGCAGCAGUGGGGAAUCUUCCGCAAUGGGCGCAAGCCUGACGGAGCAACGCCGCGUGGGUGAAGAAGGCCUCGGUUGUAAGACCUGUCUUAUGGAGAAGUACAGUGACGGUACCAUAGGAGGAAGCCACGGCGUAACUACGUGCCAGCAGCCGCGGUAAGAGUAGUACAC
Molecule: ribosomal RNA, 497 nt
Filed under: uncultured bacterium
Lineage: Bacteria
Description: bacterial SSU rRNA
Rfam family: Bacterial small subunit ribosomal RNA
Source: RNAcentral